GCAAACUUGGUCAUUUAGAGGAAGUAAAAGUCGUAACAAGGUCUCCGUAGGUGAACCUGCGGAGGGAUCAUUAAUGAAUGACCUAAAAAAGGUCUUCAAACCCUUUCAAACCUGUGGACAUAUUAAAAUGUGUUUCGGCGCUUCGGCGUCGUAUUUAUGCCUAUAUCAUAUAUUGAAGUCUAAACCACACAAAAAAGAAUUAAAACUUUCAACAAAGGAUCUCUUGGCUCUUGCAUCGAUGAAGAACGCAGC
Molecule: unclassified non-coding RNA, 252 nt
Filed under: uncultured fungus
Lineage: Eukaryota; Fungi
Description: partial contains small subunit ribosomal RNA, internal transcribed spacer 1, and 5.8S ribosomal RNA
Rfam family: Eukaryotic small subunit ribosomal RNA (bases 1-73)
Source: RNAcentral